RNAcentral lists this ribosomal RNA (300 nucleotides) under uncultured bacterium. RNAcentral's name for it is "bacterial SSU rRNA". It matches the Rfam family "Bacterial small subunit ribosomal RNA", at positions 28 to 324 of the family's 1533-position model. The record is from RNAcentral.
GAUGAACGCUAGCGGCAGGCCUAAUACAUGCAAGUCGAACGGUAACAUGAGAGCUUGCUCUUGAUGACGAGUGGCGCACGGGUGCGUAACGCGUAUGCAACCUACCUAUUACAGGGGGAUAGCCCGAAGAAAUUCGGAUUAAUACCCCAUAGUAUAACUAGAAGGCAUCUGAAGGUUAUUAAAGAUUUAUCGGUAAUAGAUGGGCAUGCGUAAGAUUAGCUAGUUGGUGAGGUAACGGCUCACCAAGGCCACGAUCUUUAGGGGGUCUGAGAGGAGUGAUCCCCACCACUGGUACUGAGA